AGAGUUUGAUCAUGGCUCAGGACGAACGCUGACGGUGUGCUUUAGGCAUGCAAGUCGAACGAGAAAGCCCUUCGGGGUGAGUAGAGUGGCGAACGGGUGAGUAACACGUGGGCAACCUGCCCCUCGCAGGGGGAUAACCGGAGGAAACUCCGGCUAAUACCCCGUAAGCUUUCAGGGUCGCAUGGCCCUGUAAGGAAAGGUAGCUUCGGCCAUCCGGCGAGGGAUGGGCCCGCGGUGCAUUAGCUAGUUGGUGGGGUAACGGCCCACCAAGGCGACGAUGCGUAGCUGGUCUGAGAGGAUGAUCAGCCACACUGGGACUGAGACACGGCCCAGACUCCUACGGGAGGCAGCAGCCAGGAAUCUUGGGCAAUGGGCGCAAGCCUGACCCAGCAACACCGUGUGGGCGAUGAAGGCCUUCGGGUCGUAAAGCCCUGUUGAUGGGGACGAAGGGCGAAGGGUUAAUAGCCCCUAGCCUGACGGUACCUUUCGAGGAAGCCCCGGCUAACUACGUGCCAGCAGCCGCGGUAAUACGUAGGGGGCGAGCGUUGUCCGGAAUUAUUGGGCGUAAAGAGCGUGUAGGCUGUUCGGUAAGUCUGCCGUGAAAACCUGAGGCUCAACCUCGGGCGUGCGGUGGAUACUGCCGGGCUAGAGGACGGUAGAGGCGAGUGGAAUUCCCGGUGUAGCGGUGAAAUGCGCAGAUAUCGGGAGGAACACCAGUAGCGAAGGCGGCUCGCUGGGCCGUUCCUGACGCUGAGACGCGAAAGCUAGGGGAGCGAACAGGAUUAGAUACCCCGGUAGUCC
RNAcentral lists this ribosomal RNA (801 nucleotides) under uncultured Rubrobacter sp. RNAcentral's name for it is "bacterial SSU rRNA". It matches the Rfam family "Bacterial small subunit ribosomal RNA", at positions 8 to 796 of the family's 1533-position model. Lineage: Bacteria; Bacillati; Actinomycetota; Rubrobacteria; Rubrobacterales; Rubrobacteraceae. The record is from RNAcentral.